UACGUAGGUGGCGAGCGUUGUCCGGAAUUACUGGGUGUAAAGGGUGCGUAGGCGGGUAUGCAAGUCAGUUGUGAAACCCAUGGGCUUAACCUAUGGCAUGCGACUGAAACUGUAUAUCUUGAGUGUCGGAGAGGUAAGUGGAAUUCCUAGUGUAGCGGUGGAAUGCGUAGAUAUUAGGAGGAACACCAGUGGCGAAGGCGACUUACUGGACGAUAACUGACGCUGAGGCACGAAAGCGUGGGGAGCAAACAGGAUUAGAUACCCUGGUAGUCCACGCUGUAAACGAUGGAUACUAGGUGUGGUGGGACUGACCCCUACCGUGCCGGAGUUAACGCAAUAAGUAUCCCACCUGGGGAGUACGGCCGCAAGGCUGAA
RNAcentral lists this ribosomal RNA (375 nucleotides) under uncultured bacterium. RNAcentral describes it as "bacterial SSU rRNA". It matches the Rfam family "Bacterial small subunit ribosomal RNA", at positions 524 to 898 of the family's 1533-position model. The record is from RNAcentral.